Molecule: long non-coding RNA, 831 nt
Organism: Oreochromis aureus
Lineage: Eukaryota; Metazoa; Chordata; Actinopteri; Cichliformes; Cichlidae
Exons: 3
Source: RefSeq, a predicted model, not a curated record
AGGAAGAAACUAAAGAAAAGGCAUCUCAUGGAUAUCUCACCAUGUGACCAGGGAGAAGAUUAUGAUGCAGAUUCAAGUGGUGGAUCAAACAUGCUUUUGCCACCAGGAGCAGUUCUGCCCUGUUCAGGCCACUACCAACUCUCUUCCCAUCAUGAGCUGCACCACCCAGAUGGGACAUGCCAGUGAAGCACUGAUUCAUGUCCUUCAGAAGAUCCAGCAUCAGCCCUGUUCUGCUCUUUGAAGGGUCCCGCUGUCUUAUUGCAGUUGGAACCACUCCCAUCACCACAUUUGCCACAGAUGACCUUGGAGAAGGUUUGCUGUGUCUUAUGGCAUACUACUACACCCUGCAUCUCACCUAUCCUAAAUGUGUGGCAACGCUUCUGUCUGUCAUUCAGACUGAAGUGUUAAAGGACAAAAUCCAUGAGUAAGACACCACAGGCUCAUACAAAAAAGUCAUGGCAGGCUGUAGAAAUUUUUUAUUGAAACGUAGAGCUGUUUGAGCAAGAUGUAUCUUAGGUCUGUGUUGGAAGGUUUGGACCUGAUAGCUUUGAAGUUGCAAUUUACACUUGAAUUCUUUUUUUAAAAUUCUUAUUAAUGUAAUACAGUGCUUCUUUCUUCACAUCUGUUCUGCAAAUUCUGUUUAAAAUUGCAAAUGCUCUUUUUAUUACAUUUUAUAUGUUGAGUAGCUAACUGGUUUAGCACUUCUAAAAGGAACACAAAAUAACAAUGUUACACUUACAGUGUGUCUUUAAAUUUUUGUGUACUAUGAUUUACUGAAAUAUUUGUUACUGUUUGGAGAGUUUGUUUCCAAUAAAGGUCAUGUACACAGUA